RNAcentral lists this ribosomal RNA (1553 nucleotides) under Pectobacterium brasiliense. RNAcentral describes it as "bacterial SSU rRNA". It matches the Rfam family "Bacterial small subunit ribosomal RNA". The record is from RNAcentral. Lineage: Bacteria; Pseudomonadati; Pseudomonadota; Gammaproteobacteria; Enterobacterales; Pectobacteriaceae.
CUUAAAUUGAAGAGUUUGAUCAUGGCUCAGAUUGAACGCUGGCGGCAGGCCUAACACAUGCAAGUCGAGCGGUAGCACAGAAGAGCUUGCUCUUUGGGUGACGAGCGGCGGACGGGUGAGUAAUGUCUGGGAAACUGCCUGAUGGAGGGGGAUAACUACUGGAAACGGUAGCUAAUACCGUAUAACCUCGCAAGAGCAAAGAGGGGGACCUUCGGGCCUCUCGCCAUCAGAUGUGCCCAGAUGGGAUUAGCUAGUAGGUGAGGUAAUGGCUCACCUAGGCGACGAUCCCUAGCUGGUCUGAGAGGAUGACCAGCCACACUGGAACUGAGACACGGUCCAGACUCCUACGGGAGGCAGCAGUGGGGAAUAUUGCACAAUGGGCGCAAGCCUGAUGCAGCCAUGCCGCGUGUGUGAAGAAGGCCUUCGGGUUGUAAAGCACUUUCAGCGGGGAGGAAGGCGGUAAGGUUAAUAACCUUAUCGAUUGACGUUACCCGCAGAAGAAGCACCGGCUAACUCCGUGCCAGCAGCCGCGGUAAUACGGAGGGUGCAAGCGUUAAUCGGAAUGACUGGGCGUAAAGCGCACGCAGGCGGUCUGUUAAGUUGGAUGUGAAAUCCCCGGGCUUAACCUGGGAACUGCAUUCAAAACUGACAGGCUAGAGUCUUGUAGAGGGGGGUAGAAUUCCAGGUGUAGCGGUGAAAUGCGUAGAGAUCUGGAGGAAUACCGGUGGCGAAGGCGGCCCCCUGGACAAAGACUGACGCUCAGGUGCGAAAGCGUGGGGAGCAAACAGGAUUAGAUACCCUGGUAGUCCACGCUGUAAACGAUGUCGAUUUGGAGGUUGUGCCCUUGAGGCGUGGCUUCCGGAGCUAACGCGUUAAAUCGACCGCCUGGGGAGUACGGCCGCAAGGUUAAAACUCAAAUGAAUUGACGGGGGCCCGCACAAGCGGUGGAGCAUGUGGUUUAAUUCGAUGCAACGCGAAGAACCUUACCUACUCUUGACAUCCAGAGAACUUAGCAGAGAUGCUUUGGUGCCUUCGGGAACUCUGAGACAGGUGCUGCAUGGCUGUCGUCAGCUCGUGUUGUGAAAUGUUGGGUUAAGUCCCGCAACGAGCGCAACCCUUAUCCUUUGUUGCCAGCGAUUCGGUCGGGAACUCAAAGGAGACUGCCGGUGAUAAACCGGAGGAAGGUGGGGAUGACGUCAAGUCAUCAUGGCCCUUACGAGUAGGGCUACACACGUGCUACAAUGGCGUAUACAAAGAGAAGCGACCUCGCGAGAGCAAGCGGACCUCAUAAAGUACGUCGUAGUCCGGAUUGGAGUCUGCAACUCGACUCCAUGAAGUCGGAAUCGCUAGUAAUCGUAGAUCAGAAUGCUACGGUGAAUACGUUCCCGGGCCUUGUACACACCGCCCGUCACACCAUGGGAGUGGGUUGCAAAAGAAGUAGGUAGCUUAACCUUCGGGAGGGCGCUUACCACUUUGUGAUUCAUGACUGGGGUGAAGUCGUAACAAGGUAACCGUAGGGGAACCUGCGGUUGGAUCACCUCCUUACCAAGAAG